RNAcentral lists this long non-coding RNA (878 nucleotides) under Homo sapiens (human). Its description in RNAcentral is "HSALNT0310496". Lineage: Eukaryota; Metazoa; Chordata; Mammalia; Primates; Hominidae. The record is from RNAcentral.
GCAGGAGGAUCACUUGAGCCCGGGAGGUGAAGGCUGCGGGAAGAGUUUGUCUCGUCUAUCAGGCCACCAACAAGAGUUGUUGCAAUGCCUGUGGGAGGUGCAGCCCACGCUGGGCCACCUGGCCAGCUCAGGGAUCCUGCUGGAGAUCGAGGAUUGUCUGGUCGGCCUCUUACAACUCUCAGAACAUCAUCCCUGGGAGCAGCCCUGAAGAGACCAAGGAAUGGAAAAACAGAUGGAAGGACUGCAACUCACAGGUGAAAAGGAACCGGCUACGAGAGGCUCCAAACCAAGGGAGCAGCGGAGUUUGUCUCCAAAACACCGAGCCCAGUGAGAGAAGCCAGAGCCACAGACCAGAUGCCCUGCAGCCUCAGCUCCAGUGUCUCAUCCCCAGAGACCUUCCCAGACCACCAUGUCUCAGACAGCCCCGGCUGCCUCCUGCCUGCCCUGCACCAGCCCUGAGCCAUCGCCUCAUUUUAUUCUCAUUCUAACUUGGAUAAUGGGAUCUGCCUCUUACCAACUGUGACCUUAGGCACAGGAUCAGCCCCAAAUUGAGCCUCAUUUUGUCCAUCUGUAAAAUGAGGAUGGCACUAGAGCCCCGUCUAGGGUGAAUGUGAAGGUCAGAGCCUGCACAAGCCUUCAGGGUUUAAUGCCCUGCUGUGUCCAUGUGCUCAGCUCAUAGCCACCAUGCAUGACUUGGGACUUCUGAAUGGGACCAAGAAAUAUCUAACAUGCGAUUUCCUGGAAAGCACAUAGGAGUUUGGCCCAGAUCCAGACUUGGCAGUUGCUCAAUCAAGAAGAAGCUGCCAGGCACAGUGGCUUGUGCCUGUAACCCCAGAACUUUGAGAGGCUGAGCGGGGUGGAUCACCCAAAGUCAGGAG